Molecule: ribosomal RNA, 274 nt
Filed under: uncultured bacterium
Lineage: Bacteria
Description: partial 16S ribosomal RNA
Rfam family: Bacterial small subunit ribosomal RNA
Source: RNAcentral
AUACGGAGGGUGCGAGCGUUACUCGGAGUCACUGGGCGUAAAGCGUCCGUAGGCGGUCGGGUAAGUCGGGUGUGAAAGCCCCGGGCUCAACCUGGGCAGUGCACCCGAUACUGCUCGACUCGAGUGCGGGAGAGGAUGGCGGAAUUCCCGGUGUAGCGGUGAAAUGCGUAGAGAUCGGGAGGAACACCAGUGGCGAAGGCGGCCAUCUGGCCCGCAACUGACGCUGAGGGACGAAAGCGUGGGGAGCAAACAGGAUUAGAAACCCUAGUAGUCC